This is a non-coding RNA of Picea glauca (white spruce), 109 nucleotides long. NCBI's taxonomy places the organism in Eukaryota, Viridiplantae, Streptophyta, Pinopsida, Pinales, Pinaceae. The record is from Rfam.
UACAACAUAGCGUUAUUGCACAAGAUCUCAUUAGAACUCCACAAUUAAGCACGCUCAAGCUAGAGUAGUACUUGGAUGGGUGAUUUCCCAGGAAGUACUAGCGUUUUAC